Molecule: long non-coding RNA, 1617 nt
Organism: Eucalyptus grandis
Lineage: Eukaryota; Viridiplantae; Streptophyta; Magnoliopsida; Myrtales; Myrtaceae
Exons: 2
Source: RefSeq, a predicted model, not a curated record
UCCAGUUUGCACAUCGAACUCAUCGAAACGAAGGAGAUCAUCUCUCUCUCCCUCUACUUCUCUCAUCGUUGAUCUCGUCUUGACUGAGCUGAACUCCUCUCUCUCUCUGUCUCUCUCUCUCUCUCUCUCUCUCUCUACAAGCAGACACAGGCACGCAUCCUUAGUCGCGCCUGCGCUACAAUGGCUGCAGCGUCGUGCCCAUCGAGGCCAGUGAGCAAACCUGCAGACGGCUUCUCAUUUGGGACGUCUCCGAAGACACCAAACCAAUUUCUUGGGAGACCAGGCUGCAAGAAUCUAUCGUUCGCUUCAAAUUAUGCAGGCAAAGUGAAAGUCUGCACUUCUCGGAAACUCACUGUUCAGGCUAGGUAUGAUUAUGACUUCUGGCUUCCUGCAAUUUCGUGCUCCCCAAUCUCAGUUUCUCUCCUGUGGUCAAUGAUUGCUUGUUGGAGUCCAACUAUGUUGCAUAGCCAUUUGAUAUCACCUGAUGACUAUUGAAUCAAUAUACACAAGUAACCUGUGGUGAAUAUGGGUGUUGAUAAAGCACGUAAAGUAAUCUGCGCACUUUAGGUGCUUGUCAAAAGACCACGAAUCUAAACUCAUUCUGAACUUGUCAUGCUUAGCUACAUACUCUACAUCUAUGACUUUUCCUGUGACUUCUUUUGCAUUAAUUAGGCACGUGGUAAAUUGUAACUCUUUUGCACCAAAGCAACCUCUUCCAAAGAGGGGACUGAAAUGUUAUGGCACGAGAGAGUAAUGUUCUGACUUUCUGUCUUUUGCACCAAAGCAACCACAUUACAUAUUGAGCCAAAAUUUAAUGAUUAUUUGUGUCAAUAUCUCAAUAGAUAAAAGUUCAUUUUCAUUGGAUCAGCCAACUUGAAAGUAUAGAACGUAGUAUAAAGUCUUACAAGCCAACUUGGAACUAUAGAACGUAGUAUAAAGUCUUACAAGCCAACUUGGAACUAUAGAAUGUAGUAUAAAGUCUUACAAAUUCAAGAUUGCUUUGUCAAUCGAAGAUAUAUACCCAUAGAAGCUUGAAAGGGAAACUGUAGCUUUUAAUAGAAUGGAUGAGAGAGAGCAUUUCGAACAACUACAGAUGGUCCAGGUGCUUCACUCUGUGUUCUCAUUGCAACUACAUACUCAUUUGUCGUGAAUAACUUGUACCUGGUUAAGACUCUGCAGAUCACCUCCUACAGAUGGAUGAUGUCGAGAACUUACGGGAUGUAGAACGGACGAAGAUGCUCUCGCUUUAGCACCUGCUUUGAUUGCCUUCUUAGAGUCUUAACUUUGCAAGCUUCCAUGCACUUAUGCAAACAGGUUGUGUAGCAUCUGGAUCAACUGUGGAGGGGAGGCGUCUUGUCUCCGAGUGUGGAAUGAUUUCAUCCUGCUCAACGAAACAAGGGGAAAUAUAUUCAGCCAAAACAGUCAGCAUGGUCCAUAACAAAGAUUCUAGCUCCAUCUGCAUACACGCAAGUGCAUAGGAAGCAGCAUUCGACAUUUAACCAAAUUUUAGAUCUAACAUCGCCUUUAUUUUUUGUACCAGACACAAUACUUUUGAAAUCCUAUUAUUUAUGGAUAUAGGGAAAACAAAUUUGGACAUAAUAUUAGCUUUACAUUAAA